UUUUUUUUUGACAUGAAGAAGCUACUCUAUAUAUAACGUGGCAAUGGAAUUAAACACAAAAAAUUGCACAAUACCUGUCAUCAAAGAUAGGAUUAAAAAUUAUUUUAAAAUUAAAUAAAAAAAAAAUUUAUGUGCUGUUUAAUGCAAGUACUCUGUUGCAAUGGGCACAUAUUAUGAUUUGAGAUAUAAAGGAAUCUAUUAACUAAAUUCCAUUUUCUAAUGAAAUAAGUAAAAGCAUGUGGUUUAAGGUCCAAUAUUUUUAUGCCAUCCCAAAACCACACCAUCAUGUUUUUUCCUUCUAAUUUGGUUUACUUAGCAAUAGCUUAUAUAUUCUCACACAAUCUGAAAUAAGUAAACUACAGAGUGGGGAACAUACAUACUCCAAGAGCCUGGCUUUUGCUUUGACAGAAGCAAAAAGCAUAUCUCCAGCUGCUUCCACCUAUUGAUCCAGUCCCACUGUGCUGAAAUACUACUUGAAGUCGAUGUAGCUGUAGAUUAAAUAAAAUGAUACAACCUCUUCGGAAAUCACUAUCAAGGUCCUUGAAGAAGAGGUGGAAUCAGCACUUUAAAACUUUUUUGCUUUUUAUUUGGGUCAUGCAUUCCUGACUAACCCCUGAACUGCUGUUCACAGGCAAGAAGUUGGCAGCGAUGGGAAAGAUCUUUAAAGGUGAGUGGAAUCAACCACUGAAAAUUUUACUACGGGUGUUUUACAGACUCUCCAUCACUGACUAAUUCAAAGUCAGGAUGAGAUGGUUUUUCAUGUGUUGCAAAAAGAGCAACAGGGGAAAAAAACCCCAACAAAACACACACGCAAAAAAAUAUAUAUGAAAAAACCACUGCCAUCAAACCUACCAAAGAGAUGAUCCCAGUACGGUUACUGAUGUCCAACCAGUCCUGUCAGUCCUUUUCUGUUAUGAUAGAGGCUGUACCUCACAAACUAACAGAACAGUUUUAUCUUGUGUCUAAGACUGCUACCUCAACUAAACAAGUAAAGUGAGAUUAUGGGUUCUAUUUUACAGGUAUAAAUUAAAAUGAAUUUUAUUGAUGUCAAAGAUGGCAAAGUUUUAAGGAGACGUAGUGACUGACACAACUAAGAAAAGCAAUAUUUUUUGAGUGUACAGGUCUCUUUUUUUUCCUAUUAUGAGUUGAUCUAAUAAAGAUAUUAUGUCUCUGUCCAGAUCAUGUCCUGUCAUCAUGACUACAAGCACUUUUAUUAUUCUAUUUUUGAGAAAAAGCCGAUGAUAGAGUGUCUCUAAACACACCAUUGAGUAUUGUAACUGGGAUCUGAAUCUUCGCUUUUGGCACAGGAUUAGGAAACAGUGAUUUCUUUCUCCACAGUUUCUGAGAUACAAGCAGCAGGGGAAAAAAAAAAAGGAAAAAAGAUGCUUUUCCCUGGAAUUUCUCCCAGUAUACUGAUCUGAUUCUCUUUCCUACUAGUGAUAGCCUCUUUCUAUUACAAAGACCUAUCUUCCUGUGAUUACAUACAGUGUAUUUCACAUCUGCUACUGCCAGAAUAGCUUAAAAUGACAUAUGACAAAGUGCAGGACGAGAAAUCUGACAGAA
RNAcentral lists this long non-coding RNA (1563 nucleotides) under Strigops habroptila (Kakapo). RNAcentral describes it as "lncRNA (ENSSHBG00005004134.1)". Lineage: Eukaryota; Metazoa; Chordata; Aves; Psittaciformes; Psittacidae. The record is from RNAcentral.